Long non-coding RNA from Gallus gallus (chicken), 407 nucleotides. RefSeq lists it as uncharacterized. The record is from RefSeq and is a predicted model, not a curated record. The transcript is spliced from 2 exons. NCBI's taxonomy places the organism in Eukaryota, Metazoa, Chordata, Aves, Galliformes, Phasianidae.
UCCAGAUGUGUGAUAUGGCCCAUCCAGGUGAGGACCCAUCCAGGUGUGUGAUAUGGCCCAUCCAGGUGUGAUAUGGCCCAUCCAGAUGUGUGACACGGCCCGCCCAGAUGUGCACCCAGGCACGUGGUCCCACUCCACCCCGACGUGCACGGGCACGUGUGUUCCUGCUGCACGCAGGCAUGCACCAAUCCACGUCCCCGCUGCAUCCAGGCAGCGCUGCAGAGCCCGACGUGCACCGACCGCCCUCCCGUGCAGCCCCACAAACCUCCGUGCCCCCAUUCCCUCACCCCAAACAGCAGAGCAAAUCAUUUCCCCCCUUCCCAACCCAACGCCACGGCAGUGCCCGGAGCCCCCCCCCCAACCCCAUGGCGUCCACGUCCACAAAUAAAUUAAGGCGGCGGUGGUGA